RNAcentral lists this ribosomal RNA (571 nucleotides) under Pseudomonas sp. SA043. RNAcentral describes it as "bacterial SSU rRNA". It matches the Rfam family "Bacterial small subunit ribosomal RNA", at positions 82 to 649 of the family's 1533-position model. The record is from RNAcentral. Lineage: Bacteria; Pseudomonadati; Pseudomonadota; Gammaproteobacteria; Pseudomonadales; Pseudomonadaceae.
GCUCCUUGAUUCAGCGGCGGACGGGUGAGUAAUGCCUAGGAAUCUGCCUGGUAGUGGGGGACAACGUUUCGAAAGGAACGCUAAUACCGCAUACGUCCUACGGGAGAAAGCAGGGGACCUUCGGGCCUUGCGCUAUCAGAUGAGCCUAGGUCGGAUUAGCUAGUUGGUGGGGUAAUGGCUCACCAAGGCGACGAUCCGUAACUGGUCUGAGAGGAUGAUCAGUCACACUGGAACUGAGACACGGUCCAGACUCCUACGGGAGGCAGCAGUGGGGAAUAUUGGACAAUGGGCGAAAGCCUGAUCCAGCCAUGCCGCGUGUGUGAAGAAGGUCUUCGGAUUGUAAAGCACUUUAAGUUGGGAGGAAGGGCAGUAAGUUAAUACCUUGCUGUUUUGACGUUACCGACAGAAUAAGCACCGGCUAACUCUGUGCCAGCAGCCGCGGUAAUACAGAGGGUGCAAGCGUUAAUCGGAAUUACUGGGCGUAAAGCGCGCGUAGGUGGUUUGUUAAGUUGGAUGUGAAAGCCCCGGGCUCAACCUGGGAACUGCAUCCAAAACUGGCAAGCUAGAGUAC